This 321-nucleotide long non-coding RNA is filed under the name Hordeum vulgare. RNAcentral describes it as "long non-coding RNA (HVUL_LNC003549)". Lineage: Eukaryota; Viridiplantae; Streptophyta; Magnoliopsida; Poales; Poaceae. The record is from RNAcentral.
ACGGGUAUCUUCCAAGCUUAUAUAAAAGGGUUGCUGAAGAGUAACCUGACAGAAGUUCCUUCGAUCCAAUACGUUUUUCGAUCUCUGAAAACGGUAAUGCAUUAUGAGCAAGUAAUGGAAAACCUGCUGGCUGAGGAACAAUUGGAGUAACAAUGGUUGUUUUUAUGAAAGAGAGUCUGUGUGGAUGAUCUGCCGCUUUGUACAUAUACUUCGGCCUUUCGAUGAGAUAUUUCUGAAUUUUGUAGACUGAUCCCUCUCUGAUUCUUUUCUUAAAUUGGUGUACAAUCUAUGGAGGGAUCACUCCUUCGAUCACUCCUCCCU